Molecule: long non-coding RNA, 232 nt
Filed under: Cricetulus griseus (Chinese hamster)
Lineage: Eukaryota; Metazoa; Chordata; Mammalia; Rodentia; Cricetidae
Description: lncRNA (ENSCGRG00000026140.1)
Source: RNAcentral
CUCCAACCCACUGAUGUUCCUCCCCUCAGAGAGGCGUGUGGUUCUGACAAAAGGGGGACCCUCCUUCCACACAAGGCUAUAACUCUUCGGUGGGGAAUUCUGAGGCAAGUUCAAGCAGAGACAGACCGAAAAGCAUGGCAUGUUAAUCUAAAACUGCAGAGCACCACUCCUGAAUGGGGAUGAAGGAGAACCUGUGUGAAUAAAGGAUACAGUAUGAGACAAGAAGACACCA